Molecule: long non-coding RNA, 436 nt
Organism: Syngnathus acus (greater pipefish)
Lineage: Eukaryota; Metazoa; Chordata; Actinopteri; Syngnathiformes; Syngnathidae
Exons: 3
Source: RefSeq, a predicted model, not a curated record
AGUGCACAUUUCCAUGACAGCGGGAAGGUUGUGACCUCAGGUUUGUGUGUCGCUCUGCGGCAAAUCCCCUUUGCGACACAAUGCCAUUUGCUCUGGGCAGGUUCAAGCAUUUUCCACUGCGCUUGCCAGAACUUCAUAGAGGAACAGAAUAAAGGGACACUCGGCAUUGCAUGGCAGCGGGGAGGGGGACCAUCACGCUGGCUGGCUGGCUGGCUGGCUGGCUGCCUUUCUUGGGGUGUUCCUAAUGUUUUGUCCAGGGAAUGGCAAACGAAUGGGGGGGACAGGACGUGGAUCAGGAGGUGGCCGCAGCGGAGCGGGCGGUCCCGCUGUUGACGCCGCUGCCCUUGGCGACCUUUGACCCCAGCGACUGACCCCAGCGGCUCCGCAGUUCGGCGCUGUCGCUCUGCGCCUGCUCUUCGUCAUACCUACACACAAA